UACAGAGGGUGCGAGCGUUAAUCGGAAUUACUGGGCGUAAAGCGCGCGUAGGCGGCUUUGCAAGUCGGGUGUGAAAUCCCCAGGCUUAACCUGGGAACUGCAUUCGAGACUGCAUUGCUAGAGUAUGGGAGAGGGAAGUGGAAUUUCAGGUGUAGCGGUGAAAUGCGUAGAUAUCUGAAGGAACAUCAGUGGCGAAAGCGGCUCACUGGGUCUCUUCUGACGCUGAGGCACGAAAGCUAGGGUAGCGAACGGG
Molecule: ribosomal RNA, 253 nt
Filed under: uncultured bacterium
Lineage: Bacteria
Description: partial 16S ribosomal RNA
Rfam family: Bacterial small subunit ribosomal RNA
Source: RNAcentral